UACGUAGGGGGCGAGCGUUGUCCGGAAUCAUUGGGCGUAAAGCGCGUGUAGGCGGCUUGGUAAGUCCGGUGUGAAACCUUGGGGCUCAACCCCAAGCCUGCACUGGAUACUGCCUCGCUUGAGUCCGGGAGGGGAGAGCGGAAUUCCUAGUGUAGCGGUGAAAUGCGCAGAUAUUAGGAAGAACACCGGUGGCGAAGGCGGCUCUCUGGAACGCAACUGACGCUGAGACGCGAAAGCGUGGGGAGCAAACAGG
RNAcentral lists this ribosomal RNA (253 nucleotides) under uncultured bacterium. Its description in RNAcentral is "partial 16S ribosomal RNA". It matches the Rfam family "Bacterial small subunit ribosomal RNA", at positions 524 to 776 of the family's 1533-position model. The record is from RNAcentral.